RNAcentral lists this transfer RNA (88 nucleotides) under Candidatus Bipolaricaulota bacterium. RNAcentral describes it as "tRNA-Ser". It matches the Rfam family "tRNA". Rfam says of the family: Transfer RNA (tRNA) molecules are approximately 80 nucleotides in length. Their secondary structure includes four short double-helical elements and three loops (D, anti-codon, and T loops). The record is from RNAcentral. Lineage: Bacteria; Candidatus Bipolaricaulota.
GGAGGGAUGUCCGAACGGUAAGGAGCCGGUCUCGAAAACCGGUACGGCCCUUGUGGCCUUCGGGGUUCGAAUCCCCGUCCCUCCGCCA